Long non-coding RNA from Sapajus apella (tufted capuchin), 1636 nucleotides. RefSeq lists it as uncharacterized. NCBI's taxonomy places the organism in Eukaryota, Metazoa, Chordata, Mammalia, Primates, Cebidae. The transcript is spliced from 2 exons. The record is from RefSeq and is a predicted model, not a curated record.
GUACCCCUGCAGCCUGGUGGGGAGGGGUAGCUCCUUCCCCACAAGAAGCAGCGGUAGUGCCCACGGCAGAUAUAACCAUGGCAACCAACAACAAACAUCCCAGGAACCACAGUGGGACAGGAAGUGACAGCCACGUGACAGGAAGACAUUUUUUUUCUUAGUGUUGUGGGGGGUGAUGAAGAUUGUUUGCAGCCCCUGGGGAAUCAGCUGUCCCCCAGGUUUCUCCCACCUGGAGUUGGAGGGAAGGGGGACCACUAGGAAGGGGGCCAACCCCUCCUUGCUCUACACAGUGGGUCGCGGGACUGACAGGGCUCUCCCUCUCUGCCUGCCACUCAUGGGUCCCCCCCUUAACCCCCCUCUUCUCCACUUCCUGCCGUGACUGGAGAUCAGAGAACUCUCCACCGCAGCUUCCCCUUCUCAAGUCUCGAUUCCUGGGCUGAAGGUUUCACUGUGGGGCGAGGGACAGAGAAGAAGAGCUGAGGACCUGCGGUAGGACCCAGGGGACAGAGGCUUCAGUGGGAGGGCCAGGAUAAAGCCACUCCAAGGUUUGAAAGUCUUUUUGUUGUGCUUGUUUUUGAAGAGAAAGAGAGAGCAGGAGUUCCCAGCGGCAGUUCUGCAAGGGCUCGAGCGCUGGGGACACACGCAGCAGACGGCCCCAGACGCCUCAAGGCUGCGCGCGAAGACACGGCGCAGGCAGACGCACAGACGGGGCUCCCCCACCCUGGACACGGCGGCAGCGAGUUGGGAAACCCAGGAAACCCCGGGUUCCCGUCAGAAGCCUCCCGGCACCCAGUCCCCUCCCGUAGCGCUUAUCUGGGCAGGACAUGGGGCCCCGACGCCUGCGGGAACCAGGGGCUCCCCAAAAUCCCCGGGGAAAGGGUUACCUCGCAGCCAGGGGACGCAACCCGUUCGGGGUACCCGCGAGCACAACGUCUGCCCUAACCCGGCGCCCUGGUGCUGUUCGGCAUUAGAGUGCGGGAUCCCGGGAGAGGAGCCGUCUGGGGGGCCGCGUCUCAGGGGCGCGGGGCGACGGCAGCGGCCAUAGCGAGUCACGUGCGGAGGCUGAAACUUUACCCGGAGCCCCAGACUAUAGGGGCGGAGGGUACGGAGGAGAGGUGGGGGAAGGCCCUCUCCCUCAGGCCCGCCCCUGCCCGCCCACCGACCAAUCAUCAGUCAGGGGCGGAUCUACAGGAUCACCCCCGCCCCCACCUCUCCUUAACAGACCCCGGGAAGGGCGAGUCUUAAAGGAGCCGCUCCUAGCAGAAGGCUGGACCGUGGGAAUCUGGGAGAAUCCCUCCCUCAAACCCGAACCGAAAAUUCAGAGCGAGGAGGGGGUGAUGUUCUGCGGAAAGAAUGAAAAUAGCACUCGGUGAAGACCGCAGCGUGUGGUAUCCUACACUCCUUUCCCCCGCGACCACACACACUCCCACACCUAAACCCGAGAAGAGAGGCGGCGGCAGAACAUGGAAGUGAGUGCGGUGACUCCUGCCCUAGCUGUCAAGCCCCUGAAUCCUAUAAUUAUAAUCCUCUUCUAGGGACCAGCUGGAACUGAGAGCUGUGUGACCUUGACCAAGUCACUUCCCUUCCCUGGAUCUUAAUUAUCUCAGCUGAAAAAAAAAAAAAAAAAAAAAAAAAA